UCCCAUUGCCCCAUAAAGUAUUCAAUCCCACUACCCCAUAAAGUAGCUUUGUCUGAAAUAAGGUUAAAAUGGAGGUCAUUAUGCUUUAAUAAUUUCAGGUCUCCCAUCCCCGAGCCAGAGAUCGGAGGAGCAGCCACCGUCAUGAUUGCCGGCGACGUUGGAAGAUCCGUCGGCAGGAGCAACGGACGAAGCAGGUAGCUCCUCCCUGACGCUGUUCGAUUCACGAAGCCCCCCAGGUGUGUGCGGUAAGCGAUGGCUAGAUCUAAUCGCCGAUCGAAGAGGAGGGCAUCUGGGCAUAUUUUCUCGCCGUCGACUUCGGUGUUGGCCGGUCAGUCAGCUUCUUGUUGUUGUCUCGGUCGUUCAAGCGAUGCUGGUCCAGUCGUGAGGUAUUAGAUGGGAAUGAACCAACUCUAACAUCUUCAAUCAGCAGAAGGUGUUGCAGAGCUACAGUGGGCUUGUAGGAAGUUUGAGCUUUGGAUUUCUAGAUUUGAGCCCAAUUGAAGAAAGAUAGAUUAGAACUUACAGCUUCGGAAGAGUGGAAGACUAUAGAACUCACUGAUGCAACUGGAAGAACUCUUCAGCAUAUACUGGUCUGCCUGAAAUUUUUUUGAGGAAGCUGACACUUUCGAGUUUGGACAAAGGUGGGAAUGGACAAUUUGAUGAGGCUAAUCCAAAAAAGUUAUUGAUAGCAAUCUUAUUUUCCGGAAAAAGAAAGAGAGAGAAAUGGAUCUUGAUAAUCGUGAGGUGGCCAUAAGAAUAAAGUUGUUGUUUUUUUGGCACAAUUGAAAAAGGAAGCCUUAAAAUCCGGAAGUGGUAUAUUAUUUUAUUUUUUCAGGCCAAUAAUAUAGUGAGAGAAUAGUCAUUCCUUUUGAAGAUAUAAAAAAGUAAGCCUGAAAAAGCGGAUCAUUUUGGCCGCAUUAAUAAUGUCAGACUCGUGUGGAGCAAUAUGGCAAAAUUGUAAUUUGUUAAAAAUGUCAGGGCAAAUGGAAAUUAAUUAAAGCGAAA
Molecule: long non-coding RNA, 1005 nt
Organism: Ipomoea triloba (trilobed morning glory)
Lineage: Eukaryota; Viridiplantae; Streptophyta; Magnoliopsida; Solanales; Convolvulaceae
Exons: 5
Source: RefSeq, a predicted model, not a curated record